UGGGCAACCUACCCUAUAGUUUGGGAUAACUCCGGGAAACCGGGGCUAAUACCGAAUAAUCUCUUUUGCUUCAUGGUGAAAGACUGAAAGACGGUUUCGGCUGUCGCUAUAGGAUGGGCCCGCGGCGCAUUAGCUAGUUGGUGAGGUAACGGCUCACCAAGGCGACGAUGCGUAGCCGACCUGAGAGGGUGAUCGGCCACACUGGGACUGAGACACGGCCCAGACUCCUACGGGAGGCAGCAGUAGGGAAUCUUCCACAAUGGGCGAAAGCCUGAUGGAGCAACGCCGCGUGAGUGAAGAAGGUUUUCGGAUCGUAAAACUCUGUUGUAAGGGAAGAACAAGUACAGUAGUAACUGGCUGUACCUUGACGGUACCUUAUUAGAAAGCCACGGCUAACUACGUGCCAGCAGCCGCGGUAAUACGUAGGUGGCAAGCGUUGUCCGGAAUUAUUGGGCGUAAAGCGCGCGCAGGCGGUCCUUUAAGUCUGAUGUGAAAGCCCACGGCUCAACCGUGGAGGGUCAUUGGAAACUGGGGGACUUGAGUGCAGAAGAGGAAAGUGGAAUUCCAAGUGUAGCGGUGAAAUGCGUAGAGAUUUGGAGGAACACCAGUGGCGAAGGCGACUUUCUGGUCUGUAACUGACGCUGAGGCGCGAAAGCGUGGGGAGCAAACAGGAUUAGAUACCC
RNAcentral lists this ribosomal RNA (683 nucleotides) under Lysinibacillus macroides. Its description in RNAcentral is "bacterial SSU rRNA". It matches the Rfam family "Bacterial small subunit ribosomal RNA", at positions 118 to 787 of the family's 1533-position model. Lineage: Bacteria; Bacillati; Bacillota; Bacilli; Caryophanales; Bacillaceae. The record is from RNAcentral.